AUGGAAGCUCAGGCGACUCGCUCGUCGUCAGCGACGUGGAAUGCGAUCAUAGCUGGCAGAAAGGCGCUGGAAUGUGGCCUGAUCAAGCGAGUGGUGAAUGGUGAGUCUAUUUCCACCUGGACGGAUAGAUGGAUCCCGAGCACGAGCACUCGUAUACCUACUGGUCGGAUUGGGACUGACCCUAUACCUCGGGUCUCUGAACUGUUCGAUCAUGAGACGGGGGCGUGGGAUGUUGAUCUAAUUCGAAGGAACUUCCUACCUUCAGAUGCAGCGGCUAUCUUGAAUAUACCAUUGAGAGCUACUGGGGGAGAGGAUUAUUUUGCUUGGGACUUGGAGAGGUCUGGUGUUUAUUCUGUUAAAUCGGCUUAUCGUGCUCUAGUGACUCAUAACGAGCAAUCUGCUCCAGAGGAAGGAACGGUAACGGAUCCAUCAUCGUCGGAUAAACACAUGUGGACUGCUUUGUGGAAGCUCAAGGUAAUUCCCAGAGUACGAGUUUUU
RNAcentral lists this ribosomal RNA (498 nucleotides) under Triticum aestivum (bread wheat). Its description in RNAcentral is "partial small subunit ribosomal RNA". Lineage: Eukaryota; Viridiplantae; Streptophyta; Magnoliopsida; Poales; Poaceae. The record is from RNAcentral.